ACUGCAUUAGCUCAGUUGGAUAGAGCAAUCGCUUCCUAAGUGAUCGGUCCCUGGUUCGAGUCCAGGAUGCAGUC
RNAcentral lists this transfer RNA (74 nucleotides) under Adonisia turfae CCMR0082. Its description in RNAcentral is "tRNA-Arg". It matches the Rfam family "tRNA". Rfam says of the family: Transfer RNA (tRNA) molecules are approximately 80 nucleotides in length. Their secondary structure includes four short double-helical elements and three loops (D, anti-codon, and T loops). The record is from RNAcentral. Lineage: Bacteria; Bacillati; Cyanobacteriota.